CCUUCGGGGAAGGAUUAGCGGCGAACGGGUGAGGAACACGUGAGGAAUCUGCCUUCAACACUGGGAUAACUCCGGGAAACCGGGGCUAAUACCGGAUACGAGACCUGCAGGCAUCUGCGGGUCUGGAAAGUUUUUCGGUUGAAGAUGACCUCGCGGCCUAUCAGCUUGUUGGUGAGGUAAUGGCUCACCAAGGCGACGACGGGUAGCCGGCCUGAGAGGGCGACCGGCCACACUGGGACUGAGACACGGCCCAGACUCCUACGGGAGGCAGCAGUGGGGAAUAUUGGGCAAUGGAGGGAACUCUGACCCAGCGACGCCGCGUGCGGGAUGAAGGCCUUCGGGUUGUAAACCGCUUUCAGCAAGGAAGAAGCGAAAGUGACGGUACUUGCAGAAGAAGCACCGGCUAACUAUGUGCCAGCAGCCGCGGUAAUACAUAGGGUGCAAGCGUUGUCCGGAAUUAUUGGGCGUAAAGAGCUCGUAGGUGGUUCGUCACGUCGGAUGUGAAAAUCUGGGGCUUAACCCCAGACCUGCAUUCGAUACGGGCGAGCUAGAGUGUGGUAGGGGAGACUGGAAUUCCUGGUGUAGCGGUGGAAUGCGCAGAUAUCAGGAGGAACACCAAUGGCGAAGGCAGGUCUCUGGGCCAUUACUGACACUGAGGAGCGAAAGCGUGGGGAGCGAACAGGAUUAGAUACCCUGGUAGUCCACGCCGUAAACGGUGGGCACUAGUUGUGGGAACCUUCCACGGUUUCUGCGACGCAGCUAACGCAUUAAGUGCCCCGCCUGGGGAGUACGAUCGCAAGAUUAAAACUCAAAGGAAUUGACGGGGCCCCGCACAAGC
This 838-nucleotide ribosomal RNA is filed under the name uncultured organism. RNAcentral's name for it is "bacterial SSU rRNA". It matches the Rfam family "Bacterial small subunit ribosomal RNA", at positions 77 to 930 of the family's 1533-position model. The record is from RNAcentral.